GUAGGUGGCAAGCGUUGUCCGGAAUUAUUGGGCGUAAAGCGCGCGCAGGUGGGUUCUUUAAGUCUGAUGUGAAAGCCCCCGGGCUCAACCGGGGAGGGUCAUUGGAAACUGGGGAACUUGAGUGCAGGAGAGGAAAGUGGAAUUCCACGUGUAGCGGUGAAAUGCGUAGAUAUGUGGAGGAACACCAGUGGCGAAGGCGACUUUCUGGCCUGUAACUGACACUGAGGCGCGAAAGCGUGGGGAGCAAACAGGAUUAGAUACCCUGGUAGUCCACGCCGUAAACGAUGAGUGCUAAGUGUUGGGGGGUUUCCGCCCCUCAGUGCUGCAGCUAACGCAUUAAGCACUCCGCCUGGGAGUACGGUCGCAAGACUG
RNAcentral lists this ribosomal RNA (372 nucleotides) under uncultured organism. RNAcentral describes it as "partial 16S ribosomal RNA". It matches the Rfam family "Bacterial small subunit ribosomal RNA", at positions 527 to 896 of the family's 1533-position model. The record is from RNAcentral.